CCUUCCCAUGUGCACCGUGGGUCUCCCAGGCAAAGUUCAGCCUCUUUGUCUGAAGAUCCCAAUGUUAGGGACGAAAUUCUUCCUCCGGGGACUAUUCAUGGCUGCAGACCGUCCUUGGAACUCCAACCAACACAAAUACACCUAUGCCUUCAGUCAGGGUUUAUAUAAAAAACAGAUGAUGAUUUCUGCAGGAAAUGCCCGGUGGGCCACAAUGAC
Pelobates cultripes (western spadefoot toad) is the source of this 216-nucleotide non-coding RNA. The record is from the annotation of a GenBank genome assembly. NCBI's taxonomy places the organism in Eukaryota, Metazoa, Chordata, Amphibia, Anura, Pelobatidae.